This 253-nucleotide ribosomal RNA is filed under the name uncultured bacterium. RNAcentral describes it as "partial 16S ribosomal RNA". It matches the Rfam family "Bacterial small subunit ribosomal RNA", at positions 524 to 776 of the family's 1533-position model. The record is from RNAcentral.
UACGAAGGGGGCUAGCGUUGUUCGGAUUUACUGGGCGUAAAGCGCACGUAGGCGGAUCGUUAAGUCGGGGGUGAAAUCCUGGAGCUCAACUCCAGAACUGCCUUCGAUACUGGCGAUCUAGAGUCCGGAAGAGGUGAGUGGAAUUCCUAGUGUAGAGGUGGAAUUCGUAGAUAUUCGGAAGAACACCAGUGGCGAAGGCGACUUACUGGACACAUAUUGACGCUGAGGUGCGAAAGCGUGGGGAGCAAACAGG